GGCUUAUAUUAUUUGUUGCUACAUAGCAAAUUGCCCCAAAUGUAGUGGCUUAAAACAACAGACAUUUAUUCUCCCAGUUUCUGUGGGUCUGGAAUCUGGGAGCAGCUUAGCUGGUUCUGGUCCAGGGUCUCUUACUGGGUUGUGGUGACAUGGUUGCUGGCUGGGCUGGAGGGCCUGCUUCCGCGGUGGUUUCAACACACGGCCACUGACAGGAGGCCCUGGUCCCGUCCCAUGUGGACUCUCCGUGGUGCUGCUUGAGCAUCCUCACAGCUCAGAUUGAGCGAUGAGAGGGAGGGAGGAAGAGAGGGAGAAUACACAAGGCGGGAGGCGCAGGGCCUCUUUGUUUCGUAACACCUGAAGCACACGCAGUCACUGCCACUCUCUUCAUCAGAAGCAGCCAGCUCCCACACUCAGCAGUGGGAAGUGAGCUCCACCUCGCAAAAGGGGAAGUCAAAGAAUUUGUGGACAUGCUUUAAAGCCACUGUCACACGAGACUAACACUUGUAAUGAAAAACUGGGGAAGUAUUAAGAAAGUGUACUUCAGGAAAAAGCUGUCCGUGGAACUGCCACAUGCAGGCCCACUCUGACACCUUGGUUGUGUGCUGUUCCCGCCUUUUUUUUUCUGGCCCUGGUGGUUUUUCAUGGACUUGUAGUUAAACUGCAUAUGUAAUUUUCCUUCUUUUUUCACUUAGUAUCAUGACAUAAGCAUUUUACAUGCUUAUAAACUCUAUUAAAAUCCAUUUUUUAGUUUUCUGUUUUAAGAGACCAGGUCUCCCUCUGUCACCCAGACUGGAAUGCAGUGGUGUAAUCGGAGAUCGCCGUAACCUCGACGUCCUUGGCUCAAGGGAUCCUCCUGCCCCAGCCUCCCGAAUAGCUGGGAUUAGAUAUACCACCACACGCAGCUAAUUUUUUUUGGUUUGGUGUUGUUUGUUUGUGACUGAGUUUCGCUCUGUUGUCCAGGCUGGAGUGUAGUGGCUCAAUCUUGGCUCACUGCAACCUCUGCCUCCCGGAUUCAAGCAAUUUUCCUGCCUCAGCCUCCCAAGUAGCUGGGACUACAUGUGCAUGCCAGCACGCCCAGCUAAUUUUUGUAUUUUUAGUAGAGACGGGGUUUCACUUUGUUGGUCAGGGUGGUCUCAAACUCCGGACCUCAAGUGAUCUGCCUGCCUUUACCUCUCAAAGCGCUGGGACUACAGGCAUGAGCCAUGGCGCCCAGCCUGUUUGUUUUUAAGAGACAAGGUCUGUUUAUGUUAUCCAGGCUGGUCUUGAACUCCUGACCUCAAGCAGUCCUCCCACCUCAGCCUCUCAAAGUGCUGGGAUUACAGGCAUGAGCCACUAUGCCUGGGCUAGUUUUUUUUAAUUAAACUUUUUGUUUUGAGAUAAUCAUAGCUGCACAUGCAGUUGUAAUAAAUAAUACAAAGAGAUUCCAUGUACACUUUACCCAGUUUCCUCCAAUGGUAACAUUUUGCAAAACUAUAAUAAAAUAUCACCACCAGGAUCCUAACAUGGUCAAAAUACAGAGCAGUUCCAUCACCAGGAUCCCUCCUGUCACCCUUUUAAGGCCACCCUUAUACCCCCACCCCUACAGACCCCAUCCCUAACCACUGGCAACUACUAAUCUUCUCGGCUUCUACCAUUUUAUUAUUUCAAGAACACAUAUAAAUGGAAGCAUAUGAUGUGUAACUUUAGGGGACUGGUUUAAUUCUCUGGAGAUUAGCCCAGGUUGUUUGACGCAUCAGGAGUUCAUUCUUUGCCAUUCUUGAGUGGUAUUCAAAGGUAUGGGUCGACCACGGUUUGUUUAACCAUUUCCACGUUGAAGGACAUCUAGGCUGACUCCAGAUUUUGGCUGUUCCAGAUAAAGCUGCUAUGAACAUUUGUGUUCAUGUGUUCAAGCUUUUAUGUGAACAGUCUUCAUUGUUCUGGGAUAAGUCCACAGGAGUGCCACGGUGGGGUCGUAUGGGAGUUGCAUAUUUCGUUAUGAAAAUCAUAUUUAAUAGCAGCUUAAUUCUUCAUCAAGAGACUAGAUCUUUUUUUUUUUUUUUUUGAGACAGAGUCUUGCUCUGUCGCCCAGGCUGGAGCACAAUGGCAUGAUCUCGGCUCACUGCAACCUCCGCCUCCCAGGUUCAAGCGAUUCUCCUGCCUCAGCCUCCCGAGUGGCUGGGAUUACAGGCGCCCGCCACCAUGCCCGGCUAAUUUGUGUAUUUUUAGUAAAGACGGGGUUUCACCGUGUUGGCUAGGCUGGUCUCGAACUCCUGACCUCGGGUGAUCCGCCCACCUCGGCCUCCCAAAGUGCUGGGAUUACAGGCGUGAGCCACUGCGCCUGGCCGAGACUAGAUCAUAAUUUAAGUAUUAUUCCUUUGUCAUUGGAUAUAUAGUAUUUCUAAUUAAUGGGCAAUUAUAAGUGAUUCUGUACUUUGUCUUUAAAAUUAUUUUUGUGUUUCUGAUGAUUUCUUUAGGGUGGGUUCCCAUGAGUAGAGUUGCUCCAUGGUGGGAUGGGAGACUUCAAGGGGCAAGUUGCCAAACUAGACAUUUCUAAUUCUGGUAACAGGCUGCCAUGUGCGCGUUAUUGAGUUGAUGUGCUCACAAUGCCCCGGGAGGUGAUGGGGGCUUUGCAGGCCCCUGUGGGAGCUGUCAGGGAGCCAGCGAGGCCUCAGCUGGCUUGGUUGGCACUUCCCUGACAAUCCCUCCAUUGUGCCCAUCAGUGCUGGAUGCCCAAAGCCUGGCACGGAGUUUCUUUAACCGCCUUUGGGAAGUCGCCGGCCAGUGGCAGAAGCAGGUGCCAUUGGCUGCCCGGGCCUCACAGCGGCAGUGGCUGGUCUCCAUCCACGCCAUCCGGAACACUCGCCGCAAGAUGGAGGACCGGCACGUGUCCCUCCCUUCCUUCAACCAGCUCUUCGGCUUGUUUGACCCUGUGAACCGCGCCUACUUUGCUGUGUUUGAUGGUCACGGAGGCGUGGAUGCUGCGAGGUACGCCGCUGUCCACGUGCACACCAACGCUGCGCGCCAGCCAGAGCUGCCCACAGACCCUGCGGGAGCCCUCAGAGAAGCCUUCCGGCGCACCGACCAGAUGUUUCUCAGGAAAGCCAAGCGAGAGGCAGGGUCUCAGCAGGCUACCGACAUCCUCUGGGAACAAUCCUUCCUCGGGAGUUAUAGCCA
Molecule: small RNA, 3153 nt
Filed under: Pan troglodytes (chimpanzee)
Lineage: Eukaryota; Metazoa; Chordata; Mammalia; Primates; Hominidae
Description: retained intron
Source: RNAcentral